CACCCGCCGCCACACGACGCCGCCCACAAUCUAGGAUUCCCAGUCGUGCCCGCAGGAGAGGACGCCCUACGCGUUCCCCACCUGCUGCAUAUGCCACCGCCACAAUAUCUGCGCGCCGCGGCGGCAACCUCCAUGCUCGAAGCCGAAGAUCUGCACACCGCCGCAGGCGCCAGCUCGAUCACAUGAUCCGAACAGGUUGCACAACAGUCCUUCUCGCAACUGCGUGCUGAGGGAGCGAUUUCAGGAUGUAACCGUCCCGCCGUUCGGGUCUAAUGGUACUGCCUACAGUCCGGCUCCGAUUCUAGCUCAGGAGGACGUGCUCCAGUUCCCCGCCAUCCUCUCUGCAUCCAAUUUUUAUAUUUCAGCUUAUGUGUUGUCUCAUGUGCAAUUGAAGCGCAUCAGUUCUGUUAUUCUGAUUGAACUGAAACUCUUACAGACCAUCAAUGACAAGUCCCAGGAGCAGAGGAUCUCAGCUGGUAAAAUAGCUUUAUGGUUAGUGCCCGGAGUUUCUGAAUCCUAUUUGUGAGAGUAUUGUUUUGGAGAAAGGAAAUGGCUGCUUUGUCUACAUUGAUAUUGUUUGCAUUAUGACAUGCAGAUUUACAUUGCGCGUUGGAGCAUGGACAUGGGCUAGCUUGUAAUUUCUUUAGCUCAUGUAUAUCUCUCAGACAGAAUGGAAUGGAAUGGAAUAGAAUGCUACUCAUCUAUCUCACCCUCUCUUCAAAUAGUUAUCCUACAAGUUUUCUUAAAUUGAACUUGUGGCUUAUUUGCAUACAAGACUAGACGAUCAGUGGUUUCUGUAAUCCUAAUAUAUCUCACAUUUAAUUAGUUUUUACGCUUAUCUCUGACGAUAAUUUUCCAUGUUCGGUGCGUCAGUUCAUAGACGAUGAUAGCCGAACGGGGGUUAAUAGAAAGUUAGAGUUGUGGAGGCGAACCCUCGAGUCGAAAGGUUUUAGGCUUAGUAGAACUAAAACUGAAUACAUGAGGUGCAGUUUCAGUUCUACUAGGCACGAGGAGGGAGAGGUUAGCCUUGAUGGGCAGGUGGUACCGGAGAGAGACACUUUUCGAUAUUUGGGGUCCAUGUUGCAGAAGGAUGGCGAUAUCGAUGAAGAUGUGGGCCACCGAAUC
Non-coding RNA from Lolium perenne, 1125 nucleotides. NCBI's taxonomy places the organism in Eukaryota, Viridiplantae, Streptophyta, Magnoliopsida, Poales, Poaceae. The record is from RefSeq and is a predicted model, not a curated record.